Long non-coding RNA from Oncorhynchus keta (chum salmon), 500 nucleotides. RefSeq lists it as uncharacterized. NCBI's taxonomy places the organism in Eukaryota, Metazoa, Chordata, Actinopteri, Salmoniformes, Salmonidae. The transcript is spliced from 3 exons. The record is from RefSeq and is a predicted model, not a curated record.
UCCUCUCUCUUCAUCCAGUUCUGUCUCUAGACUCCCCCUCUCCUCUCUCCUCUCCCUUCAUCCAGUUCUGUCUCUAGACUUCCUCUCUCCGACCCUGAGGCAGCCUGCCAGGCAGUCAGUCAUGUGUUGCCAGAGCGCUGAGCCCAGAAGGAACAAUGUGCCAUAAGGGGCUGAGGGGCAGUUGAGCCAUGUCGAGGCAGGGUGUGUUGGGGCUGAGGUCAGUUGAGCCAUGUCGAGGCAGGGUGUGUUGGGGCUGAGGUCAGUUGAGCCAUGUCGAGGCAGGGUGUGUUGGGGCUGAGGUCAGUUGAGCCAUGUCGAGGCAGGGUGUGUUGGGGCUGAGGUCAGUUGAGCCAUGUCGAGGCAGGGUGUGUUGGGGCUGAGGUCAGUUGAGCCAUGUCGAGGCAGGGUGUGUUGGGGCUGAGGUCAGUUGAGCCAUGUCGAGGCAGGGUGUGUUGGGGCUGAGGUCAGUUGAGCCAUGUCGAGGCAGGGUGUGCAGCACG